CACACCAUAGCUACUGGGGAGUUCUACAACUGAGCUGACUGCUAUGGCUCUUGGACACUAAGGGUCUCUUGGCUCUAUUUUGUGUUUGUAGGCAGUAGAAGUUUUCCUGUCAAAUGGAAAGCUGUUUUCUGCUCUUUUGCCCUGAUCCUGUGUGAGCAGGCUAGAGCCAAUAGCCCCAAUAUUCCUGGAGCCUAUGUACCCCAGUGUAACAAGGAGGGCCUGUACACCCCAAAGCAGUGCAACGGCUCUACAGGAUACUGCUGGUGUGUUAACACCGAGGGAUAGAUGUCGUCUCUCCACUACUCCAGGCUCUCCCAUUCCAUGUGUAGUGAGACUGUCCCAAGCAGCCAGAAGCUCUCAGAAGACUUCAAGACCCAGUGUUAAUGAGGUAGCAGGACCUGUUAACCAAUACCCCUGUGGGUUGCCCUUAUGGGUUCCAAAGGCCUCUCAGAAUGUUGGACCUCCUAUGGGUGGCAGCCCAGACACAUCCACCCAUCUCCAGAAUCCACUGGUGGCCAGCAAGGUAAAGGAAACAUCUCCCUCUGCUGCUGAGCAGCAAGAACCGGCCCCAUGGAUCAAGCAGUGUGUUGGGCCCCACCAGCUGCCACGAUCCUGUUCUACCUCCACCCAGCAUUAUUUUUCAGAACCAUAACGACUAUGAACGAGGCAGUGGUUUUCUCCAACACCCUCUACUCCCCAGGAGACCCAGCCCAGCCCUCUGUUAGUGUUGUAUCCCAUGAUAUCAGUAAACCUGUGCCUAACCAGCCUCUCCUUAGACCAAGUGCUGGAUCCAAAGGAGUGGAGUAUCCUAUCCUCAGGUACUGUUACAACUACAUGUGUAGUAGUCUAAUUUGGAUGAC
This is a non-coding RNA of Oncorhynchus mykiss (rainbow trout), 860 nucleotides long. NCBI's taxonomy places the organism in Eukaryota, Metazoa, Chordata, Actinopteri, Salmoniformes, Salmonidae. The record is from RefSeq and is a predicted model, not a curated record.